CCCAUCAUGUUCGAUCUGCAUGAUCUGCAAAACGGUUUUCGUGACUGUCCUGCAGAAAACGCACAAAAACAGUACUUGCAGUACAUGACAACUCAAUUGGGCUGGGUGGGUUAGCUAGCAACAAAGAAAAAUACCUAAUUGCCUGGCGAUAGUACCACUGCUAUGCAACAUUGAAAACAGAACUUCUUUACAAGACGGGAGCUUUACCGAAAACAAACAAUACAUCGAUGUCGUGUUCCGAGCCAACUGAUCUUCGAUGCAAAAUUAAGUGGCAACACAGUAUUCUGUAUUUUUUGACAGGUAGAGUGAUACUACAGUAGAUCACAGAAUAUUGAUCUGCUUGGAGCUUAAUUAGGGCAGCGGUUCUGGUUUCUCGACUUAGCAUCUGGCGGGCUGGACUGUGUCGUUGCCAUAGGAGGCAUUAUCGUCGUCCUUCCAGCGACGAGGGGCUGUGGCAGCCCUGAUUGGGCGCGGCCUGCCGCUCGGCUUUCUCCGCCGCCGUACGCAGAGCCUUGUCGCUGCGGACGCCGUCCCGGUCCACUCGCCCCUUUCCGUUGCCGGCGACGAGGACGGCGGCGUGGAGCGACACGGUGGCGUACAUAUCGACAAGUUAGUCACUGAGGUGGUUCCGCGCCGCGCGGACUCACCCCUGAGCGCACCAAUUCUGGUGAGCUCCACCGCAUCAGCCACCGCCCCUAGGCGUGCUACACUGCUACCAGCCCACCCUGAUAGUAGUUGAGAUGAUGAGAGCAAUCAGUGGAGAAAUGUUAAGCCAAUGGAGCCUUCAAUUGGAUCCAGGAGGGAGGAGGAACACCGGAGCCACCAUCGGCCGAAGCACGCCACCGCGGAGAGAGGGGCAAUUGUCAGCAAAGUCGUCGUCAGCAGGAACGGAGGGUACGAGGAGAUGCGCCGCCAAGACAGUGGCACGCCAAUAUCAAGAACUAUGGCAACGGACGCCAGAGUCGUCCGGAAUCGUCCCCGGACCGCCUCGAUCCGAGGAAGAAGAAGAAAGAGGAAGGAGAAGACAUCCCACGUGAGUCCCCACCUAUUAGUGCGCGAAGGCAUAAGCCGGUGCCUUGCGCCGGAUUUAAGUGACGACGUACUCCACUCUUUACGUUUUCGACGCGAAGAAGUGUAUUCUCGGAGAAUUCACGAACGGAUAAACCAUCAUAGACUCAGGCGUAAUUAUUCUUUUGAUAGAUUAGUCUCUGACAUUAAUUGUCUUAUUACUUUUUACUCAUAACUCUGAUUGAUGUGAUUCUAACACUUAGAGUUUAUUUGUUACGAGGCUGUUCCAUUAAUUUUUAUUUUACUGUGUGUUUUACACUAGGACUAUUAGGCCAUUUCCGAGACAAUGAUUGCAUCACUUCUCGAAGAUUCAUUGACCCUGAGGCAAGGCAACUUCUUAUCAUGAG
Molecule: long non-coding RNA, 1415 nt
Filed under: Hordeum vulgare
Lineage: Eukaryota; Viridiplantae; Streptophyta; Magnoliopsida; Poales; Poaceae
Description: long non-coding RNA (HVUL_LNC001393)
Source: RNAcentral